Molecule: ribosomal RNA, 301 nt
Filed under: uncultured bacterium
Lineage: Bacteria
Description: partial 16S ribosomal RNA
Rfam family: Bacterial small subunit ribosomal RNA
Source: RNAcentral
CAGUCGCCACGGGAAUACGGAGGGUGCAAGCGUUAAUCGGAAUUACUGGGCGUAAAGCGCACGCAGGCGGUCUGACAAGUCAGAUGUGAAAUCCCCGGGCUUAACCUGGGAACUGCAUUUGAAACUGUCAGGCUGGAGUCUUGUAGAGGGGGGUGGAAUUCCAGGUGUAGCGGUGAAAUGCGUAGAGAUCUGGAGGAAUACCGGUGGCGAAGGCGGCCCCCUGGACAAAGACUGACGCUCAGGUGCGAAAGCGUGGGGAGCAAACAGGAUUAGAUACCCGGGUAGUCCCUGUCUCUUAUAC